Molecule: long non-coding RNA, 479 nt
Organism: Pieris brassicae (large cabbage white)
Lineage: Eukaryota; Metazoa; Arthropoda; Insecta; Lepidoptera; Pieridae
Exons: 2
Source: RefSeq, a predicted model, not a curated record
GACAAUUGACAAUACCUAGUCUGUGUGAUCUACCAAAUGUCAGUGGCGCGACUGUUUCGUGGCAGUAAGUGAAUUCUUUAGUCACUUGAGUUUCGAACGUCACCUGCGCUGGAUGUGCGCACUGACUGUGCUUAAAUAUUAAGUUAUAAUGUCGGACGACGGUAGUAACACCAAUUUUGACAAUUAUUAAUCGCGUUGAAUCUGCGACAUCAGAAGUGGGAUCGCUCCCAAACUCAUCCUGAAUCCUGAAUCUGCGACAUAUAUAUAUAAAAGAAGAUUGGCGGAGCAGGCGAUAUUGCAAGGUGUGCAGACAAAAGGUGGACCGCCAGAAAAAGGAGACGUGGGAAGACCACAAAAGCGAUGGCCUGACGACAUCAUAAAUAUUUCUGGGGAAAAUUGGACUGAGGAAUAAGAUCAGACCUAAAUGAGAAGCUAUUUGAUAAUUUUUGUAGUAUUGAAUUAAAGUGGCUUUAUUAUUA